This 403-nucleotide ribosomal RNA is filed under the name uncultured prokaryote. Its description in RNAcentral is "bacterial SSU rRNA". It matches the Rfam family "Archaeal small subunit ribosomal RNA", at positions 322 to 725 of the family's 1478-position model. The record is from RNAcentral.
CCUAUGGGAGGCAGCAGGCGCGAAAACUUUACAAUGCUGGCAACAGCGAUAAGGGAACCUCGCGUGCCAGGUUACAAAUCUGGCUGUCGAGAUGCCUAAAAAGCAUUUCAUAGCAAGGGCCGGGCAAGACCGGUGCCAGCCGCCGCGGUAACACCGGCGGCUCGAGUGGUAACCGUUAUUAUUGGGUCUAAAGGGUCUGUAGCCGGCCGGAUAAGUCUCUUGAGAAAUCUGGCAGCUUAACUGUCAGGCUUUCAGGAGAUACUGUCUGGCUCGAGGCCGGUAGAGGUGAGAGGUACUUCAGGGGUAGGGGUGAAAUCUUGUAAUCCUUGAAGGACCACCAGUGGCGAAGGCGUCUCACCAGAACUGACCUGACGGCAAGGGACGAAAGCUAGGGGCACGAACC